This 641-nucleotide long non-coding RNA is filed under the name Monodelphis domestica (gray short-tailed opossum). RNAcentral describes it as "lncRNA (ENSMODG00000039055.1)". Lineage: Eukaryota; Metazoa; Chordata; Mammalia; Didelphimorphia; Didelphidae. The record is from RNAcentral.
UUCUACGCAUUUUCACCGCAUUUCCCUCCCGAGGAUUCUCUAGAAACAGCCUGGGUCUGAAAUGUCCCUGAGGGCGACCCAGACCACCGCAGGAGCAUCAAACCAUUACCGGCCAGGAAUCACGUGUUUAGUCUGCAGAGAGAUGCUGUGAGAGCUGAGGACUCUGAGACAGAGAGACGCUACUACUCUCUUCAAGCUCUCAUGACCUCUGGUGUAGAUAUCUUCGUCAACUUUCUCCUAAUCGGUCUUCACAUUUUGCACUCACCCCUUUGUGCAUGGCCUUGAAAGUGCUCAUCUGGGAUACAGUGUGAGUGCAGACGUGAUUGCAACUGCAAGCAUUUUGUGCCCAUGCCCUGGGCAUCCAAGCCUCUCCAUAUCCCAUAUAUUGGACAGGAAGACAGAGGACAGUCUCUUUGAAGUCACCAAAUACCUCAGCGACUGCAGGUCCUGGGCGGGAUCUCCUGCCACCCCUAAAAACCUGACACGUGAAUCUGGGACCUCUGGACCUUCUACUCUGAUUGAGGUGGAGAGGUUCGGUGGAAAGAGGGCUUAGCCAUCGUGGCCCACUAAUCAAUUCAGCACAAUGCCUAGCACAUAGUAGGUAAUCAAUAAAUGUUUGCUGGAUUAAAUGAGAAGAACCA